GACGAACGCUGGCGGCGUGCCUAACACAUGCAAGUCGAACGAAGAUAUUGAGGUAGUUUACUAUCGAUAUAUCUUAGUGGCGGACGGGUGAGUAACACGUGGGCAACCUGCCUUAAAGAGGGGGAUAACACCGAGAAAUCGGUGCUAAUACCGCAUAAAAUCAUAACUUCGCAUGGAGAAAUGAUCAAAGGAGAAAUCCGCUUUAAGAUGGGCCCGCGUCUGAUUAGCUAGUUGGUGGGGUAGAGGCCUACCAAGGCGACGAUCAGUAGCCGAUCUGAGAGGAUGACCGGCCACACUGGAACUGAGACACGGUCCAGACUCCUACGGGAGGCAGCAGUGGGGAAUAUUGCACAAUGGGGGAAACCCUGAUGCAGCAACGCCGCGUGGAGGAAGAAGGUUUUCGGAUUGUAAACUCCUGUCUUUUGGGACGAUAAUGACGGUACCAAAGGAGGAAGCCACGGCUAACUACGUG
This 472-nucleotide ribosomal RNA is filed under the name uncultured bacterium. RNAcentral describes it as "bacterial SSU rRNA". It matches the Rfam family "Bacterial small subunit ribosomal RNA", at positions 28 to 507 of the family's 1533-position model. The record is from RNAcentral.